Molecule: ribosomal RNA, 408 nt
Filed under: uncultured microorganism
Description: bacterial SSU rRNA
Rfam family: Archaeal small subunit ribosomal RNA
Source: RNAcentral
GCGUACCAGGCGAGAAACCUUCGCAAUGCGGGAAACCGCGACGAGGGGACUCCCAGUGCCUACGCUCAGCGUAGGCUGUUCCCGAGCCUAGAAAGCUCGGGGAGUAAGGGCUGGGUAAGACGGGUGCCAGCCGCCGCGGUAAUACCCGCAGCCCGAGUGGUGGCCACUAUUAUUGGGCCUAAAGCGUCCGUAGCCGGCCCGGUAAAUGCCUGGGUAAAUCGUGAGGCCUAACCUCACGAAUUCCGGGUAGACUGCCGGGCUAGGGACCGGAGGAGGGAGAGGGUACUCCAGGGGUAGGGGUGAAAUCCUGUAAUCCCUGGAGGACCACCGGUGGCGAAGGCGCUCUCCUAGGACGGGUCCGACGGUGAGGGACGAAAGCCAGGGGAGCGAACCGGAUUAGAUACCCGU